GAUGAACGCUGGCGGCGUGCCUAAUACAUGCAAGUCGAGCGAACAGACGAGGAGCUUGCUCCUCUGACGUUAGCGGCGGACGGGUGAGUAACACGUGGAUAACCUACCUAUAAGACUGGGAUAACUUCGGGAAACCGGAGCUAAUACCGGAUAAUAUAUUGAACCGCAUGGUUCAAUAGUGAAAGACGGUUUUGCUGUCACUUAUAGAUGGAUCCGCGCCGCAUUAGCUAGUUGGUAAGGUAACGGCUUACCAAGGCAACGAUGCGUAGCCGACCUGAGAGGGUGAACGGCCACACUGGAACUGAGACACGGUCCAGACACCUACGGGAGGCAGCAGUAGGGAAGAUUCCGCAAUGGGCGAAAGCAUGACGGAGCAACGCCGAGUGAGUGAUGAAGGUCUUCGGAUCGGAAAACUCUGUUAUUAGGGAAGAAAAAAUGUGGAAGUAACUAUGCACGUAUUGACGGUAACUAAUCAGAAAGCCACGGCUAACUACGUG
RNAcentral lists this ribosomal RNA (497 nucleotides) under uncultured bacterium. Its description in RNAcentral is "partial 16S ribosomal RNA". It matches the Rfam family "Bacterial small subunit ribosomal RNA", at positions 28 to 507 of the family's 1533-position model. The record is from RNAcentral.